AAUUGCUCCUCUUGGAGUCUUCUCAGCAAGCCCAGGAUAAGGGCUAGUGUAUAGCAGCCCUCUCAUUUCUGUACCAGAAACCUAUGAGGUGAAUGACAAGUUUGUUCCAUAGUUCUAAGAAGCCAAGGCUUGUUGCAAAGAGACCUAUUUUGAAUGAAACCUCUAUCGGGACAGCAGCCUGACACGUGGCCAGGCUGCAAAGAACUACAGUUCGAGUACGCAGUCUUGCUCCCGUAUCUCCAGGUGGCAGAUAAGGGAGAUGAGACUGAGGCACCGUUUUUGGGUCUGAUGGAUCACAGAAUCACAGGAAAACCCGAGUUGGAGAAGACCCCAACGAUCGAGUCCAGCUUCUGGCUCCACACAGAACGCCCAAAAUUCAAACCCUAUGUCUGAGAGUACCGCCCAAACACUCUUUGAACUCCAGCAAUCCUCUCACGC
Non-coding RNA from Meleagris gallopavo (turkey), 438 nucleotides. Lineage: Eukaryota; Metazoa; Chordata; Aves; Galliformes; Phasianidae. The record is from RefSeq and is a predicted model, not a curated record.